CCAUCUUUCUCGGCCAAUUGGCUUUGAUCGAGUGUAGUAUCUUUUCUUUUCAGUUUAAUAGCUGAAAGCAGCUCACGGGUUGCAUCUACUAUUAACUCAAUUUUUUGUAGGGAUCAGGGUUUGAGCUUAAUUGCUCACUUUGAUUUGGUUUCAAUCAGACAUUGCACAAACCGUCAGAUUAGGAGCCACCUAAC
This is a small nuclear RNA of Naegleria gruberi, 194 nucleotides long. It matches the Rfam family "U2 spliceosomal RNA". From Rfam's summary of the family: U2 is a small nuclear RNA (snRNA) component of the spliceosome (involved in pre-mRNA splicing). Complementary binding between U2 snRNA (in an area lying towards the 5' end but 3' to hairpin I) and the branchpoint sequence (BPS) of the intron results the bulging out of an unpaired adenosine, on the BPS, which initiates a nucleophilic attack at the intronic 5' splice site, thus starting the first of two transesterification reactions that mediate splicing. NCBI's taxonomy places the organism in Eukaryota, Heterolobosea, Eutetramitea, Acrasida, Naegleriidae. The record is from Rfam.